CUGAACCUCUCUGCUGCUUGUUGAGUAGUGUUUUAUAGGCUGUGGAGGUGUUUGGAGCUCUUCGGGGUUCAGUGAGUGCGCUGCAGGUAUCUUAGGCUUGAGCAAACAGAGCUCUUAGGCAAGGUGCUUCAGUCUUCGUUUCCGUAAAAAAGGGAGGACACAAUAUGAGAGGAAACUUCUUUUCACCUCUCUACCAGGUGUGAAAGUUGGGGCAUGCUUGAUCUCCAACAUGUAGGGUUGGGACAACCGAUAUAUCCUCUGCUAGAAAUCAAAAUGCCAGUUUCUACCUACUUGAUUCUGGCAUGAACAGUGUAAAAAUAAAGUGUGGCAAGUCAGUGGGGCAGACCAGGAUCCUGGUCCAGUCCUGCUCCAGCGAAGGCGAGGGUGGUGGCGUGGGUGCAGGCUGUGCUCUCCGGAAACAUGGUGUGGCAUGGGUGGUUCCCUUCCUUCAUCCCCUCAUCCCAGCUGACCACAAAUGGCUCCGCCCCAGCAGGCGAGACCUCCCUGGCACCACUGAUGGCCUUGGUAACUCCGUGUGUACACUCUGAGGCCGUGCUCACGUAUCGCAGACCGGAGAACCCUGCCGAAGCCAGGACCUGCGGCUCCAGCAGCACCGCGAUGGCUGGGCUUCACCUGCAUGGAAAUGACCCAAUGCUAUCCAAAAGCAAACCUCUGUUUUGGAAGGAGUAGAUGAUAAAAUCAAGCCAAGCCACUCUCCGUGAUAUUUGCAAAGUCCUGGCAGUCAGGAGAAGUCAUUGGAAGAAGGGGAACGUUGUGCCUGUUUUAAAAAAGGGUAGAAAAGAUGACCCUGAGAACUACCGACCUCUCAGCCUCACCUCUGUGCCUGGGAAGAUCAUGGAACAGAUCCUCCUAGAAGCUAGGAAUAAACCAGAGAGGGGCAGAUUUAGGCCAGACGUUAGGAAGAAUUUCUUCACCAUGGGAGUGGGGAGGCCCUGGCCCAGGUUGCCCAGGGAAGCUGUGGCUGCCCCAUCCCUGGAGGUGUUCAAGGCCAGGUUGGAUGGGCCUCGGGCAGCCUGAUCCAGUGGGAUGUCCCUGCUCAUGGCAGAGGGAUUGGAACUAGAUGAUCUCUAAGGUCCCUUCCAACCCAAACUAUUCUAUGAUCAACUGAAAACCAGUGAAUUCCAAACUGAGGUGUGAGAUGGUCCUGUCCAAAGAUCAAUUGGAGAUGGGAAGAGGGAAGGGCCUGCCUGUCCUGCAGCUUUAGAAUCAAAACACACAAGAGGUGGAGGGGAAGUGGGCUGUAAUUAAUUUACCAGGAUGCUACAGCUCUUGUUUCACUUCACUGCAGUAAUAACUAAAUGAAAAUCCAGAUCAUGAAGAAAUAAGCAGUUCCUAUGUAUCUCGGAGAAGAGCAAGUUUCCCAUUGCUGCAGUUCCAGCAGUUCCUCACUUCACCGGAGGUGGGUGUGAUCAGAGCAGUGCAUGCUCUAAAGGGCACAGUCCUGUUUAGAUUCUGUGCGUUUGUCUCCCCAAUGGAUGAUCUAACUUUGUGCAGCUGCAAGUUCUGGGGAGCCAGUCUGUUCCAGCAAACGCGACCAGAAGGGCGAGGAAGGAUCUGCACGUAUCACUGCAACUCGCACACAUGAAGUCACAUGAGCCCUCCUGAAGGCAGCAGUUGAGGCACUUUGACAGUUACCACAGCACUGAGGACACCUGGGCUACACAAAGUAAGUAACAGCAGUUAUUGCUAUUGCCUAAGUAGGAGAGAGCAGACAGGACC
Long non-coding RNA from Cuculus canorus (common cuckoo), 1740 nucleotides. RefSeq lists it as uncharacterized. Lineage: Eukaryota; Metazoa; Chordata; Aves; Cuculiformes; Cuculidae. The transcript is spliced from 3 exons. The record is from RefSeq and is a predicted model, not a curated record.